UAGGGANUCUUCGGCAAUGGACGAAAGUCUGACCGAGCAACGCCGCGUGAGUGAAGAAGGUUUUCGGAUCGUAAAGCUCUGUUGUAAGAGAAGAACGGGUGUGAGAGUGGAAAGUUCACACUGUGACGGUAUCUUACCAGAAAGGGACGGCUAACUACGUGCCAGCAGCCGCGGUAAUACGUAGGUCCCGAGCGUUGUCCGGAUUUAUUGGGCGUAAAGCGAGCGCAGGCGGUUAGAUAAGUCUGAAGUUAAAGGCUGUGGCUUAACCAUAGUACGCUUUGGAAACUGUUUAACUUGAGUGCAGAAGGGGAGAGUGGAAUUCCAUGUGUAGCGGUGAAAUGCGUAGAUAUAUGGAGGAACACCGGUGGCGAAAGCGGCUCUCUGGUCUGUAACUGACGCUGAGGCUCGAAAGCGUGGGGAGCGAACAGGAUUAGAUACCCUGGUAGUCCACGCCGUAAACGAUGAGUGCUAGGUGUUAGGCCCUUUCCGGGGCUUAGUGCCGCAGCUAACGCAUUAAGCACUCCGCCUGGGGAGUACGACCGCAAGGUUG
Molecule: ribosomal RNA, 550 nt
Filed under: uncultured bacterium
Lineage: Bacteria
Description: bacterial SSU rRNA
Rfam family: Bacterial small subunit ribosomal RNA
Source: RNAcentral